UACGUAGGGUGCGAAGCGUUGUCCGGAAUUAUUGGGCGUAAAGAGCUCGUAGGCGGUUUGUUGCGUCGGCUGUGAAAGUCCCGAGGCUCAACCUCGGGUCUGCAGUCGAUCACGAGCAAACUAGAGUGUUGCAGGGGAGACUGGAAUUCCUGGUGUAGCGGUGAAAUGCGCAGAUAUCAGGAGGAACACCGGUGGCGAAGGCGGGUCUCUGGGACCGAUGACUGACACUGGAGGAGCGAAAGCGUGGGGAGCGAACAGG
RNAcentral lists this ribosomal RNA (259 nucleotides) under uncultured bacterium. Its description in RNAcentral is "partial 16S ribosomal RNA". It matches the Rfam family "Bacterial small subunit ribosomal RNA", at positions 524 to 776 of the family's 1533-position model. The record is from RNAcentral.